UAGGGAAUCUUCGGCAAUGGGGGGAACCCUGACCGAGCAACGCCGCGUGAGUGAAGAAGGUUUUCGGAUCGUAAAGCUCUGUUGUUAAGGAAGAACGAGUGUGAGAAUGGAAAGUUCAUGCUGUGACGGUACUUAACCAGAAAGGGACGGCUAACUACGUGCCAGCAGCCGCGGUAAUACGUAGGUCCCGAGCGUUGUCCGGAUUUAUUGGGCGUAAAGCGAGCGCAGGCGGUUAGAAAAGUCUGAAGUGAAAGCCCAUCGCUUAACGGUGGGUUUGCGCCGGGUACGGGCGGGCUAGAGUGCAGUAGGGGAGACUGGAAUUCCCGGUGUAACGGUGGAAUGUGUAGAUAUCGGGAAGAACACCAAUGGCGAAGGCAGGUCUCUGGGCUGUUACUGACGCUGAGAAGCGAAAGCGUGGGGAGCGAACAGG
RNAcentral lists this ribosomal RNA (430 nucleotides) under Bacteroidota bacterium. RNAcentral describes it as "Bacteroidetes bacterium partial 16S ribosomal RNA". It matches the Rfam family "Bacterial small subunit ribosomal RNA", at positions 355 to 776 of the family's 1533-position model. The record is from RNAcentral. Lineage: Bacteria; Pseudomonadati; Bacteroidota.